AGUUUCUUUACGCUCCACCUCCUGUCUAGUUUAGGAUAGAAUAUGUUACAUAACAAUUUUCGUCUCCGACAAAAAAAAAGAAUAAUAAUAAGCUAGUAUAUAACUCUUAACCAAUCUCUAAGAAAUCUGCCAAACUUGAAACUACGUCUUAAUCCAUGUUUAUAUGCCCAGAUUAAGAUUAAGAGAUUCCGCAUGGAGUGGCCAAUCAGCUAGUUUCUAUCAUUUUAUUCAUUGAAGCCUGAAAAUCAAACGGGUCUUAGUUUAUGUGGUAAACAAUAAUCUGGGCUAACAGGCUAAGAUAAGAUGUAAAAAAUUUCGUCUGAAGCUGCCAAUCAGUUUAGUUUUUAUUCAUGAAGCCUGAAAAUCAAAACGGCAACAUGUCAAACCCCAACUACAAAACUAGCAGAAAGAGUUAUACAGCUUCACAGAGUAUUUUGAACCCCACAACAGCUGAAUAUUGCUCCACAUGUCGAAUGACGGAGUGAUGCAAGGCUGAGAAAAGAACAGGUGAUACAUUUUCUUCGCUACUAUGGAAAUUUCUUCCCUGCCUGUCCUGUUUCUUCUUAUAGGGUACCAGCCCUUUUGUCCCAAUAAGAUGCCGCCAAGAGGAUACAAAUUACUUUGUCCUAAGUUGCCAAUAGGAUCCAAAAUAGAUAUCGAAAUGCUGAACUAAAUUGGGCAUUAGCAUUUCUAUGUUAACACUGGAGGAACUCAAGGAGUGAGAGAUCAAUUCCAUAGCCAAGCACUUCUCAGAUAGAUGCAUCAGAAAAGCAACUGGAUUCAAUAGAAUUACAAUGACGAGGACCAGCCUGAAUUUGUAAGUCAUGGGGAGGCAAUUAUUCCCGGGGAGGUAUAAUAAUAAUACCCCCCAGCAAGAGGAGGACCGUCUUCCUUGUUUUUAUCCAUCAAAAUACAGGACCAUUAAAAAAAAAAAAAAAAAAAUUGCAUCUGGCACAGAAAAAUGUCACUUGCAUGAUCCAAGAAGCAAUCCGCCGAGCUAUAAGUGACACUCUUUGACAUAGAAGGCAGACUGCAUAGCAAUUGGAUGGUAAUGGAAAUCUAUUUUAACAAAAUCAACUUGCAUUCAAAAACCUCAAGCAUCUCAAUCAAAUCAUUCCAUUAAGUAUCACCCAUUUAAAAGGGAGGAAACAGCUUAUCAUAAGCAAAGCGAAGAUACAGUGAUGGAUAAUAAUAAUUGAUACAAGAAAAAUACUACACCCUUCACUUUUGAGGUUGAAGCACACGCAGACUCGUCCAAGACCUCCAUAAUGAUAUAAA
Coffea eugenioides is the source of this 1278-nucleotide long non-coding RNA. RefSeq lists it as uncharacterized. The transcript is spliced from 2 exons. NCBI's taxonomy places the organism in Eukaryota, Viridiplantae, Streptophyta, Magnoliopsida, Gentianales, Rubiaceae. The record is from RefSeq and is a predicted model, not a curated record.